This is a long non-coding RNA of Hipposideros armiger (great roundleaf bat), 507 nucleotides long. RefSeq lists it as uncharacterized. The transcript has 4 exons. The record is from RefSeq and is a predicted model, not a curated record. NCBI's taxonomy places the organism in Eukaryota, Metazoa, Chordata, Mammalia, Chiroptera, Hipposideridae.
CCAGAUCUUCAGGCCCGACAACUUCGUGUUCGACCCACCAGCAUGGAGCCCUGUGCCCUCAGAAGUAAUCUGCUCACAGAUGCAGCCUGCUGGCUUCCUUCCCUCUCUCAGCUCAGUUCCUUACUCCUCUCCUGCUGCUUCUUGAGAUCAGCUGGCUAAAAAACUUCCACUCAAUCCUUGUCUCAGGUCUGCUUCUGGAGUCCGACCUAGGACACUCACCAAAGAGGAGACGGUCUCAUCCUCUGCUCCUUUUUGGCCCCAAAUUCCCACUGUGAACGAAACAUCAAAGGCUAAGAGGCAAUUAUCUCCAGAAUAUCUCCGUGGAACUGUGUAAUCAGAGAACUCACCCCGGAGCAGGACCAUUCUAUGGAGAGGUUCUGGAAGACUCCAGCUGACCAUGAAGAGCCCAAGAUAUGGGAGCUGUUCAUAAAGGUGCAAGAUCCAGGUGCUUGCACUCACUAGCUUUGUGGCCAACCCUUUCAGCCUCCUUUCCGAGCUGUGAAUUGG